UCGUUGUGCCGGACAAUCGCGCUUGUCGAAAGGCAGGUGAGGAAAGUCCGAACACAGGCUUAUGAAAAUAAGCAGCAGGGUAGCGGGUAACCCCCGUCCAUAGCAACCUGCCUGCCGGUAGGCUGGUAUGCGAGGUGCGAGCAGUGACGUCUAAUCCGAAAGGAGAGGAAUUCCCUCGGGAAUAAUCCAAUGGAGACAUUGGGGUGAAACGGCUAAAUCCUUACUUCUGUGCAAGACCGUGCCCUAGCUUACUAGGGAGAGUCGCUUGAGGGUAUUGGCAACAAUACUCCUAGAUAAAUGAUUGUCAUUCCGACCUUGUGUUGGAAUACAGAAUUCGGCUUAUAGGUACAACAAAAAA
RNAcentral lists this RNase P RNA (358 nucleotides) under Minisyncoccota bacterium. RNAcentral's name for it is "RNase P RNA component class A". It matches the Rfam family "Bacterial RNase P class A". From Rfam's summary of the family: Ribonuclease P (RNase P) is a ubiquitous endoribonuclease, found in archaea, bacteria and eukarya as well as chloroplasts and mitochondria. Its best characterised activity is the generation of mature 5'-ends of tRNAs by cleaving the 5'-leader elements of precursor-tRNAs. The record is from RNAcentral. Lineage: Bacteria; Bacillati; Minisyncoccota.